CCUACGUGAGGCAGCAGUAGGGAAUCUUCGGCAAUGGACGAAAGUCUGACCGAGCAACGCCGCGUGAGUGAAGAAGGUUUUCGGAUCGUAAAACUCUGUUGGUAGAGAAGAACGUUGGUGAGAGUGGAACGCUCAUCAAGUGACGGUAACUACCUAGAAAGGGACGGCUAACGACGUGACAGCAGCCGCGGUAAUACGUAGGUCCCUAGCGUUGUCGGGAUUUAUUGGGCGUAAAGCGUGCGCAGGUGGUUUAUUAAGUCUGGUGUAAAAGGCAGUGGCUAAACCAUGGUAUGCAUUGGAAACUGGUAGACUUGAGUGCAGGAGAGGGGAGUGGAAGUCCAGGUGUAGCGGUGAAAUGCGUAGAUAUAUGGAGGAACACCGGUGGCGAAGGCGGCUCUCUGGCCUGUAACUGACACUGAGGCUCGAAAGCGUGGGGAGCAAACAGGAUUAGAUACCCCAGUAGUC
RNAcentral lists this ribosomal RNA (465 nucleotides) under uncultured bacterium. RNAcentral's name for it is "partial 16S ribosomal RNA". It matches the Rfam family "Bacterial small subunit ribosomal RNA", at positions 338 to 795 of the family's 1533-position model. The record is from RNAcentral.